This 29-nucleotide small RNA is filed under the name Bombyx mori (domestic silkworm). RNAcentral describes it as "ovarian small RNA-13748". Lineage: Eukaryota; Metazoa; Arthropoda; Insecta; Lepidoptera; Bombycidae. The record is from RNAcentral.
CCCUUGGAGAGGUGGUCCAGAGCCACGAA